This 417-nucleotide ribosomal RNA is filed under the name uncultured bacterium. Its description in RNAcentral is "bacterial SSU rRNA". It matches the Rfam family "Bacterial small subunit ribosomal RNA", at positions 28 to 441 of the family's 1533-position model. The record is from RNAcentral.
GAUGAACGCUAGCGGCAGGCUUAAUACAUGCAAGUCGUGGGGCAGCGCAGUGUAGCAAUACAUGGGCGGCGACCGGCAAACGGGUGCGGAACACGUACACAACCUUCCUUCAAAUGGGGAAUAGCCCAGGGAAACUUGGAUUAAUACCCCGUAACAUUAUGAGGUGGCAUCACUUUAUAAUUAUAGCUCCGGCGUUUGGAGAUGGGUGUGCGGCUGAUUAGGUAGUUGGCGGGGAACGCCCACCAAGCCUUCGAUCAGUAACUGGUGUGAGAGCACGACCAGUCACACGGGCACUGAGACACGGGCCCGACUCCUACGGGAGGCAGCAGUAAGGAAUAUUGGGCAAUGGACGCAAGUCUGACCCAGCCAUGCCGCGUGGAGGAUGAAGGUCCUCUGGAUUGUAAACUUCUUUUCUCU